RNAcentral lists this ribosomal RNA (387 nucleotides) under uncultured bacterium. RNAcentral's name for it is "bacterial SSU rRNA". It matches the Rfam family "Bacterial small subunit ribosomal RNA", at positions 28 to 416 of the family's 1533-position model. The record is from RNAcentral.
GACGAACGCUGGCGGCGUGCUUAACACAUGCAAGUCGAGCGGUAAGGCCCUUUCGGGGGUACACGAGCGGUGAACGGGUGAGUAACACGUGGGUGACCUGCCCUCAGCUCUGGGAUAAGCCUGGGAAACCGGGUCUAAUACUGGAUAUGACUCCAUGACGCAUGUUGUGGGGUGGAAAGCCUUGUGCGGCUGAGGAUGGGCCCGCGGCCUAUCAGCUUGUUGGUGGGGUGANGGCCUACCAAGGCGACGACGGGUAGCCGGCCUGAGAGGGCGACCGGCCACACUGGGACUGAGACACGGCCCAGACUCCUACGGGAGGCAGCAGUGGGGAAUCUUGCGCAAUGGGCGAAAGCCUGACGCAGCGACGCCGCGUGAGGGAUGACGGCC